RNAcentral lists this ribosomal RNA (499 nucleotides) under uncultured bacterium. Its description in RNAcentral is "partial 16S ribosomal RNA". It matches the Rfam family "Bacterial small subunit ribosomal RNA", at positions 28 to 507 of the family's 1533-position model. The record is from RNAcentral.
GACGAACGCUGGCGGCGUGCCUAAUACAUGCAAGUCGAGCGAAGUUUUUCUGGUGCUUGCACCGGAAAAACUUAGCGGCGAACGGGUGAGUAACACGUAAAGAACCUGCCUCAUAGACUGGGACAACUAUUGGAAACGAUAGCUAAUACCGGAUAACAGCAUUAACUGCAUGGUUGAUGUUUAAAAGUUGGUUUUGCUAACACUAUGAGAUGGCUUUGCGGUGCAUUAGCUAGUUGGUGGGGUAAAGGCCUACCAAGGCGACGAUGCAUAGCCGACCUGAGGGGGUGAUCGGCCACACUGGGACUGAGACACGGCCCAGACUCCUACGGGAGGCAGCAGUAGGGAAUCUUCCGCAAUGGGCGAAAGCCUGACGGAGCAACGCCGCGUGAGUGAAGAAGGAUUUCGGUUCGUAAAGCUCUGUUGUUAGGGAAGAAUGAUUGUGUAGUAACUAUACACAGUAGAGACGGUACCUAACCAGAAAGCCACGGCUAACUACGUG